GCGUGGUUGGUUUAGUGGUAAAAUCCAUCGUUGCCAUCGAUGGGCCCCGGGUUCGAUUCCCGGACCACGCA
RNAcentral lists this transfer RNA (71 nucleotides) under Escovopsis weberi. It matches the Rfam family "tRNA". Rfam says of the family: Transfer RNA (tRNA) molecules are approximately 80 nucleotides in length. Lineage: Eukaryota; Fungi; Ascomycota; Sordariomycetes; Hypocreales; Hypocreaceae. The record is from Rfam by way of RNAcentral.